UUAAUUUUAGGACAAGUCUGAU
RNAcentral lists this non-coding RNA (22 nucleotides) under Rattus norvegicus (Norway rat). The record is from RNAcentral. Lineage: Eukaryota; Metazoa; Chordata; Mammalia; Rodentia; Muridae.